AUUAUUAUUAUCAUCAUCAUCAUCAUCAUCAUCAUCAUCAUCAUCAUCAUCAUCGUUAUUAUUAUUAGUAGUAGUACUAGUAGUAGUAGUAGUGUUUGACUGAGA
RNAcentral lists this microRNA precursor (105 nucleotides) under Lepisosteus oculatus (spotted gar). RNAcentral describes it as "miRNA (ENSLOCG00000018922.1)". Lineage: Eukaryota; Metazoa; Chordata; Actinopteri; Semionotiformes; Lepisosteidae. The record is from RNAcentral.